Molecule: ribosomal RNA, 497 nt
Filed under: uncultured bacterium
Lineage: Bacteria
Description: partial 16S ribosomal RNA
Rfam family: Bacterial small subunit ribosomal RNA
Source: RNAcentral
GAUGAACGCUGGCGGCGUGCCUAAUACAUGCAAGUCGAGCGAACAGAUAAGGAGCUUGCUCCUUUGACGUAAGCGGCGGACGGGUGAGUAACACGUGGGUAACCUACCUAUAAGACUGGAAUAACUCCGGGAAACCGGGGCUAAUGCCGGAUAACAUUUAGAACCGCAUGGUUCUAAAGUGAAAGAUGGUUUUGCUAUCACUUAUAGAUGGACCCGCGCCGUAUUAGCUAGUUGGUAAGGUAACGGCUUACCAAGGCAACGAUACGUAGCCGACCUGAGAGGGUGAUCGGCCACACUGGAACUGAGACACGGUCCAGACUCCUACGGGAGGCAGCAGUAGGGAAUCUUCCGCAAUGGGCGAAAGCCUGACGGAGCAACGCCGCGUGAGUGAUGAAGGUCUUCGGAUCGUAAAACUCUGUUAUUAGGGAAGAACAAAUGUGUAAGUAACUGUGCACGUCUUGACGGUACCUAAUCAGAAAGCCACGGCUAACUACGUG